GACGAACGCUGGCGGCGUGCCUAAUACAUGCCAGUAGAACGCACAGUUUAUACCGUAGCUUGCUACACCAUAGACUGUGAGUUGCGAACGGGUGAGUAACGCGUAGGUAACCUGCCUGGUAGCGGGGGAUAACUAUUGGAAACGAUAGCUAAUACCGCAUAAUAUUGAUUAUUGCAUGAUAAUUGAUUGAAAGAUGCUAUUGCAUCACUACCAGAUGGACCUGCGUUGUAUUAGCUAGUAGGUGAGGUAACGGCUCACCUAGGCGACGAUACAUAGCCGACCUGAGAGGGUGAUCGGCCACACUGGGACUGAGACACGGCCCAGACUACUACGGGAGGCAGCAGGAGGGAAUCUUCGGCAAGGGACGAAAGUCUGACCGAGCAACGCCGCGUGAGGGAAGAAGGGUUUCGGAUCGUAAAGCUCGGUUGUAAGAGAAGAACGGGUGUGAGAGUGGAAAGUUCACACUGUGACGGUAUCUUACCAGAAAGGGACGGCUAACUACGUG
This 505-nucleotide ribosomal RNA is filed under the name uncultured bacterium. RNAcentral describes it as "partial 16S ribosomal RNA". It matches the Rfam family "Bacterial small subunit ribosomal RNA", at positions 28 to 507 of the family's 1533-position model. The record is from RNAcentral.